UAUUGGGCGUAAAGCGAGCGCAGGCGGUUUUUUAAGUCUGAUGUGAAAGCCCUCGGCUUAACCGAGGAAGUGCAUCGGAAACUGGGAAACUUGAGUGCAGAAGAGGACAGUGGAACUCCAUGUGUAGCGGUGAAAUGCGUAGAUAUAUGGAAGAACACCAGUGGCGAAGGCGGCUGUCUGGUCUGUAACUGACGCUGAGGCUCGAAAGCAUGGGUAGCGAACAGGAUUAGAUACCCUGGUAGUCCAUGCCGUAAACGAUGAAUGCUAGGUGUUGGAGGGUUUCCGCCCUUCAGUGCCGCAGCUAACGCAUUAAGCAUUCCGCCUGGGGAGUACGACCGCAAGGUUGAAACUCAAAGGA
This 358-nucleotide ribosomal RNA is filed under the name Lacticaseibacillus rhamnosus. RNAcentral's name for it is "bacterial SSU rRNA". It matches the Rfam family "Bacterial small subunit ribosomal RNA", at positions 552 to 908 of the family's 1533-position model. Lineage: Bacteria; Bacillati; Bacillota; Bacilli; Lactobacillales; Lactobacillaceae. The record is from RNAcentral.